UUUGAUCCUGGCUCAGGACGAACGCUGGCGGCGUGCCUAAUACAUGCAAGUCGAGCGGAUGAAAGGGAGCUUGCUCCUUGGAUUCAGCGGCGGACGGGUGAGUAACACGUGGGCAACCUGCCUGUAAGACUGGGAUAACUCCGGGAAACCGGGGCUAAUACCGGAUAACUUCUUUUCUCGCAUGGGGAGAGGUUGAAAGACGGUUUUGCUGUCACUUACAGAUGGGCCCGCGGCGCAUUAGCUAGUUGGUGGGGUAACGGCCUACCAAGGCGACGAUGCGUAGCCGACCUGAGAGGGUGAUCGGCCACACUGGGACUGAGACACGGCCCAGACUCCUACGGGAGGCAGCAGUAGGGAAUCUUCCGCAAUGGACGAAAGUCUGACGGAGCAACGCCGCGUGAGUGAUGAAGGCCUUCGGGUCGUAAAACUCUGUUAUCAGGGAAGAACAAGUGUCGUUUAACUGACGGCGCCUUGACGGUACCUGACCAGAAAGCCACGGCUAACUACGUGCCAGCAGCCGCGGUAAUACGUAGGUGGCAAGCGUUGUCCGGAAUUAUUGGGCGUAAAGCGCGCGCAGGCGGCUUCUUAAGUCUGAUGUGAAAGCCCACGGCUCAACCGUGGAGGGUCAUUGGAAACUGGGAGGCUUGAGUGCAGAAGAGAAGAGCGGAAUUCCACGUGUAGCGGUGAAAUGCGUAGAGAUGUGGAGGAACACCAGUGGCGAAGGCGGCUCUUUGGUCUGUAACUGACGCUGAGGCGCGAAAGCGUGGGGAGAGAACAGGAUUAGAUACCCUGGUAUUCCACGCCGUAAACGAUGAGUGCUAAGUGUUAGGGGGUUUCCGCCCCUUAGUGCUGCAGCAAACGCAUUAAGCACUCCGCCUGGGGAGUACGGCCGCAAGGCUGAAACUCAAAGGAAUUGACGG
This 920-nucleotide ribosomal RNA is filed under the name Butyricicoccus sp. 1XD8-22. RNAcentral describes it as "bacterial SSU rRNA". It matches the Rfam family "Bacterial small subunit ribosomal RNA", at positions 12 to 916 of the family's 1533-position model. The record is from RNAcentral. Lineage: Bacteria; Bacillati; Bacillota; Clostridia; Eubacteriales; Butyricicoccaceae.